This 253-nucleotide ribosomal RNA is filed under the name uncultured bacterium. Its description in RNAcentral is "partial 16S ribosomal RNA". It matches the Rfam family "Bacterial small subunit ribosomal RNA", at positions 524 to 776 of the family's 1533-position model. The record is from RNAcentral.
UACGAAGGGGGCUAGCGUUGCUCGGAAUCACUGGGCGUAAAGCGCACGUAGGCGGCUUUCUAAGUCAGGGGUGAAAUCCUGGAGCUCAACUCCAGAACUGCCUUUGAUACUGGAGAGCUAGAGUCCGGAAGAGGUGAGUGGAACUGCGAGUGUAGAGGUGAAAUUCGUAGAUAUUCGCAAGAACACCAGUGGCGAAGGCGGCUCACUGGUCCGGUACUGACGCUGAGGCACGAAAGCCAGGGGAGCAAACGGG